AUGGAGAAUCUGCUUCAAAAAAGAGCUGAGACAUCUAUUCUAGCCAUACCAGGCAGUAAGAUCGAGCAGGUAAGCCCCCUCUGCACCUCUUCACUUCCCCCUUCUCCAUGGAUCCAUGGAGAAUCUGCUUCAAAAAAGAGAUCAUUGCAACAAAACAAAAAGGGAAAAGGGAGUGUGUGGCAGCAUCCAAAAACAAGGGAAAAAAUGUUUGAUCUCAAUGAGUUGCCUCCAGAUCUCAAUGAGCUUCCUCAUGAUAUGGAUCAGCAGCAACCCAGCAUACAACAAGGAAACUGCACAGAAAAUGGUCGAUCUGUUUACUACACGCAGGCAAGUCGUGAUGGUAACCCUACGGGCCAUGACAAUGUGGCAGGCCAGUCAUCAGCCCGUGGUGCCCCUGUAGUGGUGUCUUUGCAGUCAGAGAGCCAUACUCUUGAUGACACAGGAACCGAGGCAAAUGUUCCUGGUCCAACUAGGACUGAGCUGGAAGCUGGGGCUUUUGACAGAGCUGUGCAAGUAGAAGAAGGAGAGGAUGAGGCUGUUAUGCAUAUAUGUGAUGUCAACCCUCAAGGACCUCCUCCCCCUCCUGGCUGUACACGGCAUCCUCUGCCACCUCCUCCCCCGCAUGCUCCUCCCAAUGGCCCUACAGGCAGCACUCAGGGGGCUCGUCAUCUAGGUGAUGCCAACCCUCAAAGACCUCCUCCCCCGCCAGGCCCAACUAGCAGUGCCCUUUGUGCUACUCCCAAUGGACCUACAGGCAGGACUCAGGGGGCUCAUAACCCAGGCGACUACAAUCCAAGUACCAUGACAGGCCGUGCUACUGCAGGUGAUCGUGACGGUCCUACUGCCCCAUUGGAGGCUGCAUCCCUUGCACAAGCUUCUGAUGAUUUUGUGCCCAGGGAUCCUCCAAGGUCUACUACAAAGGGUAGGGCAAAGAGUCAACGGUACAAAUCGGCGCUGCAGCUACACCCAAAGAAGAAAAACAAAUGCAGCCAGUGCCAAUCUACAGAGCACACUGCUGGUGUGUGUCCACAGAGGCUCCUAUGA
RNAcentral lists this ribosomal RNA (1044 nucleotides) under Triticum aestivum (bread wheat). Its description in RNAcentral is "partial small subunit ribosomal RNA". The record is from RNAcentral. Lineage: Eukaryota; Viridiplantae; Streptophyta; Magnoliopsida; Poales; Poaceae.